RNAcentral lists this ribosomal RNA (337 nucleotides) under uncultured Pseudomonadota bacterium. RNAcentral describes it as "bacterial SSU rRNA". It matches the Rfam family "Bacterial small subunit ribosomal RNA", at positions 29 to 351 of the family's 1533-position model. Lineage: Bacteria; Pseudomonadati; Pseudomonadota. The record is from RNAcentral.
AACGAACGCUGGCGGCGUGCUUAACACAUGCAAGUCGAACGCGAAAGGGACUUCGGUCCUGAGUAAAGUGGCGCACGGGUGAGUAACGCGUGGAUAAUCUGCCCAAUGGACCGGGAUAACAUUCCGAAAGGGGUGCUAAUACCGGAUAAGACCACGGAAUCUAUGGAUUCUGCGGUAAAAGGUGGGGACCUUCGGGCCUACCGGCAUUGGAUGAGUCCGCGUACCAUUAGCUAGUUGGUAGGGUAAUGGCCUACCAAGGCGACGAUGGUUAGCUGGUCUGAGAGGAUGAUCAGCCACACUGGAACUGAGACACGGUCCAGACUCCUACGGGUGGCAG